UACGGGGGAGCAAGCGUUGUUCGGAUUUACUGGGCGUAAAGGGCGCGGUAGGCGGCCAGCACAAGUCAGUUGUGAAAUCUCCGAGCUUAACUCGGAAAGGUCAACUGAUACUGUGCGGCUAGAGUGCGGAAGGGGCAACUGGAAUUCUUGGUGUAGCGGUGAAAUGCGUAGAUAUCGUAAGGAAGACCAGUGGCGAAGGCGGGUCUCUGGACAGUUCCUGACGCUGAGGCAC
RNAcentral lists this ribosomal RNA (232 nucleotides) under uncultured bacterium. RNAcentral's name for it is "partial 16S ribosomal RNA". It matches the Rfam family "Bacterial small subunit ribosomal RNA", at positions 524 to 754 of the family's 1533-position model. The record is from RNAcentral.